UGGGAUUAAAGGUGUGUGCCACCAUUAC
This 28-nucleotide non-coding RNA is filed under the name Rattus norvegicus (Norway rat). The record is from RNAcentral. Lineage: Eukaryota; Metazoa; Chordata; Mammalia; Rodentia; Muridae.